Molecule: long non-coding RNA, 1176 nt
Organism: Glycine soja
Lineage: Eukaryota; Viridiplantae; Streptophyta; Magnoliopsida; Fabales; Fabaceae
Exons: 4
Source: RefSeq, a predicted model, not a curated record
CCAGUAAUCCCUCUACUCUCGAUAAAAAUUGUUUUUCUCAAAUUAUCUUCUUCCACAUACGAAAAAAAUGUAACCGCACAUUCUCAUAGUUUCUACUCAACCUCACCUCUUUGCCUCUUCUCUGGAUACCAAAUUCAACAUGUGAGAACUCAAGUAUCAGUCAUACCUCUUCUUCCGCCAAACCGCAACACAUUGUUCUUCAUUCUAUACGAAUCUCAUUUUUUAAAUCAAUUUUCGGCGUCUGGGUUUUAAAUGCUUUAUUAUUCUAAAGUUCCAGGUUUUGUUAAGAUCCCAUCGUAAAAUUUCCUUUUUUUUUUCUUGAAUAAAAAAAUGACUUUUUUCUUCACUUUUAAACAGGUGGGAAAAGCGGUUGCUGAUUUUGUUGGGUGGUGCUUCACCCACUUGAUGUGUUGGCGUUGGCAUACUAUAUUCAUACACAUUAGGGAGAGAAAAGCCAAUAAAUGGCUUUGCAUUGAGCAAUUCAAGAAAACCCUCGAUCAAAGGCAUCUAAACCAUCUGGAACACAUGCAGUUGCAAUCUGACAUGUAACUCACAUGAUGAUGAUAGGUCAAGAUCGUUCCUGUAAUCAGGAAGGGACUAUAUAUAUUGCACGACCUUAGACGAAUUUGUUAAAGACUGAGGAAAAAUAUAUACGGGUGGGGAGAGCCAGUGGCUGCAGAAAUUCAAUAACUUUUGGAUCAUUCGGGUGGUUUAUAGAGUUGAAGUGAUUGAAAAUGAUUCUGCAUUUUAUAAAGCUGUCAAAGAUGAAAGCUAAAAAGUUAGUAACCGUUAAUAUACCUUCACACUUGCUCAGUUUGAAUUGAAGAAGCAAAUGAAGAAAUGUAAGUGUUAGUUAUGGCGAGGACCUGGUGUUUGGUUUUUAGUUUCUGUAUGUUCUUCCAAAUUAGUACUUGGUUGAAGAGAAAAAUUUAAGUAUUCCCUUCUUAGACACCACGUAAAUGUGCAUAUGACAGAAGAAGCAUCCUUUGUUUGAUAAGCAUGUUCAGUUGAGAAACCAGUACUUGUAAGUAUUUAUUUAGUUUCCUCUUCUCAGUUUUCAAAUCCACAUAUAUAUAGUUCACCAUGUAUCCUUUGGUUACCCAUCUGAGAUCAACAAGUUGUAGACUAUUUUAUUUUUUCAAUUAAUUAUUUCGUUAUAUUUAUUUAAAUUUUUUU